Maniola jurtina (meadow brown) is the source of this 508-nucleotide long non-coding RNA. RefSeq lists it as uncharacterized. The transcript is spliced from 2 exons. The record is from RefSeq and is a predicted model, not a curated record. Lineage: Eukaryota; Metazoa; Arthropoda; Insecta; Lepidoptera; Nymphalidae.
CUGUUUGACAGGAGCUCAGACAGGCCCGGCGGACAUUAAACGCCGGGCGUGUUGAUUUUUUUUGUUGCGUCCAUCCGAUUGAAGAUGGGCGCGACACCUUUUAAAAUGCGUUUAUUGCUUUUUACAAUGUAAUUAUUCAAAUAUAUAUAGUGCUACUAUGCUCCCGUUAAAGGGAGCGGAGUUUGGACUUUAAAGCAGAGUUUGGACUUUAAAGCCACGUUUGGACUUUAAAGCAUGGUUCGUGCUUAAAACCUUCAGCACGCCCCACCACCACGUCAGCACCGUCGGGAUCCCACGGCCAACACCCGCUGACCAAGACUCCACGCCUCACGCCACCUAAGAGGCCAUCGACACCAAGGAGAGUACGGUCACAUGCCCUAAGGAAUUUGCCGAAAUCGACCUACACCACGACCCUACAAAUUUGUGUGCCACCGACUAGCUAAGCCGCGGUAGUUUCUGUACCAUUUUUAAACUUAAUUAGUAUUAUUAAACUUUACCGUGUGCUAAA